ACCUGGGUGGCUCAGUUGGUUGAGCAUCUGACCUUGGCUCAGGUCACGAUCUCACAGCUUGUGGGUUCGAGCCCCGCGUCAGGCU
This is a transfer RNA of Felis catus (domestic cat), 85 nucleotides long. It matches the Rfam family "tRNA". Rfam says of the family: Transfer RNA (tRNA) molecules are approximately 80 nucleotides in length. NCBI's taxonomy places the organism in Eukaryota, Metazoa, Chordata, Mammalia, Carnivora, Felidae. The record is from Rfam.